UACGUAGGGGGCAAGCGUUGUCCGGAUUUAUUGGGCGUAAAGAGCGUGUAGGCGGCCAGGGAGGUCCGUUGUGAAAACUCGAGGCUCAACCUCGAGACGCCGAUGGAAACCCCCUGGCUAGAGUCCGGAAGAGGAGAGUGGAAUCCCUGGUGUAGCGGUGAAAUGCGCAGAUAUCAGGAAGAACACCCGUGGCUAAGGCGGCUCUCUAGUACGGUACUGACGCUGAGACGCGAAAGCGUGGGGAGCGAACAGG
This 253-nucleotide ribosomal RNA is filed under the name uncultured bacterium. RNAcentral describes it as "partial 16S ribosomal RNA". It matches the Rfam family "Bacterial small subunit ribosomal RNA", at positions 524 to 776 of the family's 1533-position model. The record is from RNAcentral.